This 639-nucleotide ribosomal RNA is filed under the name uncultured marine bacterium. RNAcentral describes it as "bacterial SSU rRNA". It matches the Rfam family "Bacterial small subunit ribosomal RNA", at positions 232 to 885 of the family's 1533-position model. RNAcentral also lists the same sequence under 1 other name. The record is from RNAcentral.
CGCGGCCUAUCAGCUUGUUGGAGAGGUAACGGCUCACCAAGGCAUCGACGGGUAGCUGGUCUGAGAGGAUGAUCAGCCACACUGGAACUGAGACACGGUCCAGACUCCUACGGGAGGCAGCAGUGGGGAAUCUUGCACAAUGGGCGCAAGCCUGAUGCAGCAACGCCGCGUGCGGGAAGACGGCCCUAGGGUUGUAAACCGCUUUCAGGAGGGAAGAAAAUGACGGUACCUCCAGAAGAAGGUGCGGCCAACUACGUGCCAGCAGCCGCGGUGACACGUAGGCACCAAGCGUUAUCCGGAUUUAUUGGGCGUAAAGAGCUCGUAGGCGGUUCGGUAAGUCGGGUGUGAAAAUCCAAGGCUCAACCUUGGGACGCCACCCGAUACUGCUGUGACUAGAGUGCAGUAGGGGAGCAGGGAAUUCCUGGUGUAGCGGUGAAAUGCGCAGAUAUCAGGAGGAACACCAGUGGCGAAGGCGCUGCUCUGGGCUGUAACUGACGCUGAGGAGCGAAAGCAUGGGUAGCAAACAGGAUUAGAUACCCUGGUAGUCCAUGCCGUAAACGUUGGGCACUAGGUGUGGGUCUCAACCAACGAGAUCCGCGCCGUCGCUAACGCAUUAAGUGCCCCGCCUGGGGAGUACGG